GAUUUAUGGAAUUGGAUUAUUAAAAUUCACUAUGAAUACAAGCGAUGGGGCACGUAAACCUGAUUCUCAAACAACAAAUAUGUCAACUGAACCUUUGUUGGGAGCUGGAGGAGCUGUCAAUUACGCUAUAGCUUUGCAGCAAUACCAUUUUCAGCAGUCGUUAGCAAGUCAGCAGCUGUUGGCUCAACAACAGGCAGUUGCACAAGCAGUUAGCAUCAAAGCAGCAACUGAACAGGCUGCAGCUCGUGCUGCUGAAAUUAGCAGGCUUCUGAAGGGAGAGACAGGCGAUGCGCUGAAAGAGAAAAUUGAGGAACCUAGCUCCAAAAGGGAAAAGUCAGUAUCCCAUUCCCGGUCUCCAUCUCCUUCUCACUCUUCCAAAUCAAAGUCAGCAUCUCCUAUUAGGUACAGGAAUGGCCGCAAUGAAUGUGAACAGUAUUCACCAAGGGAUCGCAGAAAUUACAGGAGUCUUAGGAAUCCCAGAUAUUACAGCCGUGGUUACAAUGAUGGCAUGGACUAUUCUAGAUCUAGUUAUAGAAGAGAUGCUGAUCGCUCACGUGGCAGACAUCAUGCAUAUGGCCGUAGGAGUACAAGCCGGAGCAGGAGGAGAUCUACAUCUAGAUCCCUGUCACAGAGGUACCAUCAUGAGCCAUGUUUUCCCAGUCCCCGGCAUGUUAGACCCCCUUCUCCUGAAUCAGAUCGCAGGACACCUGACAGAAGCUUGAAUGAGCAUAGCAUGUCUAGAAAUCCCAUCAAUCACUGUAGCAUUAGUUCAAGUCCUCAGCGUUCCAGGACUAGAAGUCCAAGAAAACCAACAUCUAGGAGUCUCUCUGCAAAUAGUCAGAGCCACAGUGAUGAUGAUGGAAACAGAAGCAAAAACAAUAAUGCAUCUGGAGUUGGUCUCAAGCAUCAGGUAAAAGAAGCUAGCCCUUCUGAAGAACAAUCAAUGCAGAGCAGCCAUUCAAAUCCUUCUUGUAGAUCAGAAUUUACUUCUAUGGAUUAUUCUAUAAAGAAAACUAAAUUAGAACAAAGAUCAGAAAAAGCUGGCACUAGUGAGAUUGCCUUUGCCGAUGGAGAUCGUUCUAGUUCUACCAGUUCUGAAUCCAUGGUAGUUAGAAGACGCAGCCAAGAUCAUGUGAACCCCAAAGGCCAUUUCUCUUCUCCUGAAUAUUCUCAUUCUGAUCAUAGAGGCCGGAACAACAAAGCACACACGUUUUCUGAUAAACGUGUAACCAAAGACAAAUAUCCAAGCAAGGUACAUGCAGGUUGGAACUUGAAAUUGAAGAAUGGUUCUGAACAUAAGCUGCCACCAAAAGUAAUCAGUAGCAAGGAAGAAGAGUCGCCUUGUUCCCUUGAUACAGUGACAAAUGAAAGAAGUAUGAAGUCAGAGAUUGAUUGCAAGAAUUGUUCAGAAGAUGUGAUUACUGCAGAGGAUGCUGUGAAUGAUUGCAACAUACGAACCAAACAACAGGCCACCAGUCAUGGGGUCAAAAUAUUUGAAGAACAGCCCAAUGUUUCUGGGGGACACGUGGCCCAUCCUCUGUUGAAAUCCAAUGAAAAUAUUCAUGGGAAUUGCAUGUUACCUAACAGCCCCGAUGAGAUUAACCAUGAUCAUGAAUAUGAUACUCGAACUCCUGCAAUGCUGACAGAUGGGUCUGCAAGGAAAGAUGCUGAACCGGCUAUGGGGAGUCCAACUGUGUGCAUAUAUCCACAAGAAAGAUCCAAAAAGAGGUCAAGUUCAAGGGAAAGGAGAAAAAAACAUAGGAGAAAGAGCCACAGAAGGCAUAGAAGAGAAGACUCUGAAGAAGAUGACGAGCAUGGCAAAGACGGGAAACUAAGAAGGCAUAGGAGGAAGAAUAACAGAAAGCACCAUAGAAGUCACAAAGAAAGGAAGAGGGGGAAAAGGAAGUAUGGGGAGACGUCUCCCUCUAGCUCGUCUGAAGACUCCUCAUCGUCCGAUGAUAAUUAUGGAAAAGAGUAUGGCCAUGUUCCCAGCAAGAGAUCUACCAAUUCCAGUAAAAGGCGGCACGCACUCUCAAUCUACUACUAGUUCAAGCGACUGAUAAAUUUCUUCCAUACAGAGCUCCUUGUUGUGGAUAUGUAACGAAACAGAUGCUUCAUCUUUCGCCCAGGUUGGUUAUACAAUGAUAAAACCUUUUGGGAGUAAAAAUCUGAGUUCUACUUUGUCUGCCACAUGUGAAGUUUCUGAACUGUUUUCUGUCAAUUUUACCUUGAAUGGGCCAUAGCUUUAUUAUUUUUUAUGUGGCAAUGCCAUAUUUUUAGCUUCUAUAAUCUUGUUAUUUUUGGUAGAUCAGGGAUUCAUGAGGUGACAGUUGUAGGAAUCUACAAAAAUGCUUGUAUGCUCUUUUCUAGAAUAGUCUAAUUGUAUACAGGCAGUGGACCAUCCAUCCACUCUUGAUGACCCACGAAAAUGUCACUGAUCAGAUGGUCUGAAUAACAAAGGCAUUCUAUAACUAUCUAAAUUCAAGGCCAGCAAAUGGAUGGCUAGGUCUGUUGGCUCAAAGAAAUUCUUGAGAGAUAUAAGAAAUUCAAGGUGGGUUGGCAGGUUCCCUAAGAUGGAUUGUCUAUUUAGUGAUUAGAAUUUUUAUGCAAUAACCUAUGUGGGUUAUCCGAUUCUCAAACCAUUGAGUGCGAUUCUUUGUCGUGGUGACAUGAAUAGUUGGUUGGAGGCACCAGACUGUUUGGAUCGAUGAUGGGAAUAACAGUGUGUCCAACAUAACUCCUUUGCAUGAAAGUAUGGUGGGAAGCAUUCUGUUAAAUAUACCUAUGUUUGGAGAUAAGUGAAGGAGAAAAUUGUUUUGGAAUGUCUUAUUAAAUGGUGGCAGAUCCUCACACAAUAUGUUUUGGAGAACACAAGUGAAGUGGAAUUACUCAUGACUUGAUAUGUGCCUAGUCGUAGCAGCUAUUUAAUUGAGAAAUUUCAGAUUCUGAGUUCAAAAGAAAUUCAGUUGAUUCAUCCCAGUAGCUGGGAGCAAGUUUACAAACCAGGAAAAUUGACUUAAUCUCUAACUCAGUCCACUCAAAGGCUUGAUCUAGUAUUCACUCCACUCGACCCGUUAUUUAAUAAUUAAAUUAAAUAUAUUUAAAUAGUUACAAAUAUUUAGGGCCUGUUUGGAUUGGGAAUUACAUCAGUAAUGUACUGUAAAAGUGCCAUCAUUUACCAAACUAGCAUGAUUGUUUAAGUAGGUGAUUUGGUGAUCAAAUGCAAAUGUAUUAGGAGACAGGUAUUGUAAUUCAUAAUCAUUACAAUUUUACAUUGCAUUGCAAUGUCUCCUGUCCAAACACGCACAUCAGUAUAUUUUUUUCGAAGAUUUGACAUCGAAGUGAUGUAAAAGCGCCCUCGUUAUGAUUUUACCAAGAUAAACUAAACAUGAGAAUUGUACAUGAGUGCCUCGACUCUAGGCAUUGAGGGGGAGCUAAAGGAAUCGUAUGCAAGUUGGAUAUUGAGAAAGCUGAAGAUCACAUGGAAUGGAGUUUUCUUGAUUAUAUGAUACUUUGGAUGGGGUGUGGGAUGAAAUGGAGGAAGUGGAUACAGGAGUAUGUGGGAGCGGCACUUCUCGGUUAUUCUUAGUGGCUCCCCAAAAGGCUUUUUUAAAGGCUCUAAGGACUUUCAUCAAGGGACCCUCUCAUCUCCAUGUCUUUUUCUUAUGGUGGUCGAGGCGAUGGGGAGAAUGCUUGCUAAGGGACAGGAGGAGGACUUCAUUAGUGGGUUCAGAGUGGAGAGGCUGCCUUCUCUCAUUUCUUACUUGCAAUUUGCAGACGAUGCCCUCUUAUUUUGUGAUGUGACUCCUGAAAUGGCAGACAAGUUCAGAACUAUAGUCCCAGUGGUUCAAGGUGGUUUCAGGCCCACAGUUAAUAUUGCUAAGAGCAAGAUGUAUGGGGUGCGGAUGGAGGUGGAUGAGGUAGAGCGGUUAGCUGAUGUUUUUUGGGUGUGCAACUAGAGUGCUCCUGGCUUUGUUUGUGGGGUUGCUCUUUCUAUGGGAAAAUCAUCUAAACGCCUUUAGGAUAAAAAGUGGUGGUGGAGAGGUUCGAGAGGAGGCUUGCGAGAUAGAAAAGUUGAUAUCUUUGGCUUGGUGGCCCUAGCACGCUUAUUAAAGCGAGCCUUAUUUAACCUUCCCCUCUACUUUAUGCACUCUUUAAAUGUCCAGUUUGGGUGCUUUCCAAGCUUAAGAAGCUUCGAUGGGAUUUCUUAUGGCAUGGGGCGGAAGAUGAGAAGAAAUUCCAUCUCUAGUGAGUUGGGACAAGGCUUGCAAAUCCUAUGAAAAGGGAGGAGCUAGCAGGAUCUAAAAUCCAUGAAUGUUGUAUUUGCGUAGAAAGUGACUUUGGAGGUUUGGGAAGGAAGAAGGGGCACUUUGAAAAGAUGUAGUUAGAAGUAAAUAUGAUGCUCGGAUGGGGGUUGGUGGACAAGGGACUCAUUAGCAUAUAGAGCAUCAGCCUUGUGGAGAGGAGUUUCUUCCAUGUAGUCCCCUUUUUUGGAAGGGAAUGGUUUCUUGUUGGGGAAUGGUGUGUAAAUCUGGUUUUGAGAAGAUCCGUCUGUGGGGACCUCUUCUUUGAAUGUUGAGUUCCCUAGCAUAUUCCGCUUGGCUCCAAAUCCUUCUAUAGUGGUGGCGGAUUGCUCAUCCCACAUUGGUGGUGAUAGUUUGGGAAUCCCCUUGUAAGCAAUUUCUUCAUGACGAGGAAGUUGACGAUUUUGUGGCUCUUUUAGAUUAUAUCCAUCUAUUCGCCCAGAUACUUAUGCCACGGCAAGGUGCUUCCGAAGCCUAACCAAGUCGUCCAUCUCUUCCUCUCUUGGACUCCGCCUAGUUGUUUGGGUCCAAACUAUUUAACUGCCAAUCCUAUCACAACAGUCCACAACUUAUGCUUUUUCUGAUUCAAACUGAAACUUUUCUGGCUCUUGGACGCCAAUUCUUACAAAGCAUCUUUUAUUGGUUCUGGAAGAAAAACAAAAAACAAAAA
Molecule: RNA transcript, 4974 nt
Organism: Magnolia sinica
Lineage: Eukaryota; Viridiplantae; Streptophyta; Magnoliopsida; Magnoliales; Magnoliaceae
Exons: 4
Source: RefSeq, a predicted model, not a curated record